Molecule: ribosomal RNA, 355 nt
Filed under: uncultured bacterium
Lineage: Bacteria
Description: bacterial SSU rRNA
Rfam family: Bacterial small subunit ribosomal RNA
Source: RNAcentral
AGAGUUUGAUCCUGGCUCAGGAUGAACGCUAGCUACAGGCUUAACACAUGCAAGUCGAGGGGAAACGACAUCGAAAGCUUGCUUUUGAUGGGCGUCGACCGGCGCACGGGUGAGUAACGCGUAUCCAACCUGCCCACCACUUGGGGAUAACCUUGCGAAAGUAAGACUAAUACCCAAUGAUAUCUCUAGAAGACAUCUGAAAGAGAUUAAAGAUUUAUCGGUGAUGGAUGGGGAUGCGUCUGAUUAGCUUGUUGGCGGGGUAACGGCCGACCAACGGCGACGAUCAGUAGGGGUUCUGGAGAGGAAGGUCCCCACAUUGGAACUGAGACACGGUCCAAACUCCGUACGGGAGGCA